Molecule: ribosomal RNA, 661 nt
Filed under: uncultured Pezizales
Lineage: Eukaryota; Fungi; Ascomycota; Pezizomycetes; Pezizales
Description: eukaryotic LSU rRNA
Rfam family: Eukaryotic large subunit ribosomal RNA
Source: RNAcentral
ACUCCUCGAAUCAGGUAGGGAUACCCGCUGAACUUAAGCAUAUCAAUAAGCGGAGGAAAAGAAACCAACAGGGAUUGCCCCAGUAACGGCGAGUGAAGCGGCAGCAGCUCAAAUUUGAAAUCUGGGGUCCCCGACCUCCGAGUUGUAAUUUGGAGAGGCAUCUUCGGGGGGGAGCGCCGGCCCAUGUUCCUUGGGACAGGACGUCACAGAGGGUGAGAAUCCCGUGCCUGGCCGGCUGCCUCCUCCCGGGUGGAGGGCCUUCGACGAGUCGAGUUGUUUGGGAAUGCAGCUCCAAGUGGGUGGUAAAUUUCAUCUAAAGCUAAAUACCGGCGGGAGACCGAUAGCGCACAAGUAGAGUGAUCGAAAGAUGAAAAGCACUUUUGAAAAUAGAGUCAAAAAGUACGUGAAAAUUGUGAAAAGGGAAGCGCUUGAGACCAGACUCGGGCCUGGGCAAACAUCGCGCCCCUCGGGGCCGUGCAAUUGCCCGGGCCUGGGCCAGCAUCAGUUGGCGUGGCGGGACAAAGGCGCGGGGAAUGUGGCUCCCCUCGGGGAGUGUUAUUAGGCCCGCGCUCAAUGCCGCCGACGCCGACUGAGGACCGCGCCUCGGCUAGGAUGCUGGCUUAAUGGCCUUCAGCGACCCGUCUUGAUACAACGGGACCAA